RNAcentral lists this ribosomal RNA (455 nucleotides) under uncultured bacterium. RNAcentral's name for it is "bacterial SSU rRNA". It matches the Rfam family "Bacterial small subunit ribosomal RNA", at positions 29 to 506 of the family's 1533-position model. The record is from RNAcentral.
AUGAACGCUGGCGGCAUGGAUUAGGCAUGCAAGUCGAACGCGUCGGGGGCAACUCCGACGAGUGGCGUAAGGGUGAGCAAUACGUGAGGAACCUGCCUUCGGAUUCGGGACAGCCCCGGGAAACUGGGAUUAAUACCGGAUGCGGUUGCUGCGCACAUGCGCAGCGGACCAAAGGCGCAAGCCGUCCGUAGAGGGCCUCGCGUCCUAUCAGCUUGUUGGCGGGGUGACGGCCCACCAAGGCUAAGACCGGUAGCUGGUCUGAGAGGAUGGUCAGCCACACUGGGACUGAGAACUGCCCAGACUCCUACGGGAGGCUGCAGUCGAGAAUCUUCUGCAAUGGGCGAAAGCCUGACAGAGCAAUGCCGCGUGAGGGAUGAAGGCCUUCGGGUCGUAAACUGCUGUCACCGGGGAUGAAUAAUGACAGUACCCGUGGAGGAAGUCACGGCUAACUACGU